This 893-nucleotide ribosomal RNA is filed under the name Corollospora cinnamomea. Its description in RNAcentral is "LSU rRNA". It matches the Rfam family "Eukaryotic large subunit ribosomal RNA", at positions 40 to 961 of the family's 3401-position model. Lineage: Eukaryota; Fungi; Ascomycota; Sordariomycetes; Microascales; Halosphaeriaceae. The record is from RNAcentral.
AUAUCAAUAAGCGGAGGAAAAGAAACCAACAGGGAUUGCCCCAGUAACGGCGAGUGAAGCGGCAACAGCUCAAAUUUGAAAUCUGGCCCCGUCCGCGGGGUCCGAGUUGUAAUUUGCAGAGGAUGCUUUCGGCGAGGCGCCUUCCGAGUGCCCUGGAACGGGCCGCCGCAGAGGGUGAGAGCCCCGUACGGUCGGACGCCGAGCCGGUGUAAAGCUCCCUCGACGAGUCGAGUAGUUUGGGAAUGCUGCUCUAAACGGGAGGUAAACCCCUUCUAAAGCUAAAUACCGGCCAGAGACCGAUAGCGCACAAGUAGAGUGAUCGAAAGAUGAAAAGCACUUUGAAAAGAGAGUCAAACAGCACGUGAAAUUGUUGAAAGGGAAGCGCUUGUGGCCAGACUUGCGCCCCGGCGGCUCAGCCGUCCCUCGUGGGCGGUGCACUCCGCCGGGCGCAGGCCAGCAUCAGCUCGUGGCGGGGGAGAAAGGCGGCGGGAACGUGGCUCUUCGGAGUGUUAUAGCCCGCCGCUACGCCCCACCGCGGGCUGAGGUACGCGCUCCGCAAGGAUGCUGGCGUAAUGGCCAUCAGCGACCCGUCUUGAAACACGGACCAAGGAGUCGUCCUAGCAUGCGAGUGUUAGGGUGCAAAACCCCUACGCGAAAUGAAAGUGAACGGAGGUGAGAGCUUCGGCGCAUCAUCGACCGAUCCUGAUGUUCUCGGAUGGAUUUGAGUAGGAGCAUGCUGGGCCGGACCCGAAAGAAAGUGAACUAUGCUUGGAUAGGGCAAAGCCAGAGGAAACUCUGGUGGAGGCUCGCAGCGGUUCUGACGUGCAAAUCGAUCGUCAAAUCUGAGCAUGGGGGCGAAAGACUAAUCGAACUUUCUAGUAGCUGGUUUCCGC